Molecule: ribosomal RNA, 714 nt
Filed under: uncultured bacterium
Lineage: Bacteria
Description: bacterial SSU rRNA
Rfam family: Bacterial small subunit ribosomal RNA
Source: RNAcentral
AGAGUUUGAUCAUGGCUCAGAUUGAACGCUGGCGGCAUGCCUUACACAUGCAAGUCGAACGGCAGCACGGGGGCAACCCUGGUGGCGAGUGGCGAACGGGUGAGUAAUACAUCGGAACGUGUCCUGUAGUGGGGGAUAGCCCGGCGAAAGCCGGAUUAAUACCGCAUACGCUCUACGGAGGAAAGGGGGGGAUCUUAGGACCUCCCGCUACAGGGGCGGCCGAUGGCAGAUUAGCUAGUUGGUGGGGUAAAGGCCUACCAAGGCGACGAUCUGUAGCUGGUCUGAGAGGACGACCAGCCACACUGGGACUGAGACACGGCCCAGACUCCUACGGGAGGCAGCAGUGGGGAAUUUUGGACAAUGGGGGCAACCCUGAUCCAGCAAUGCCGCGUGUGUGAAGAAGGCCUUCGGGUUGUAAAGCACUUUUGUCCGGAAAGAAAACGCCGUGGUUAAUACCCGUGGCGGAUGACGGUACCGGAAGAAUAAGCACCGGCUAACUACGUGCCAGCAGCCGCGGUAAUACGUAGGGUGCAAGCGUUAAUCGGAAUUACUGGGCGUAAAGCGUGCGCAGGCGGUCCGCUAAGACAGAUGUGAAAUCCCCGGGCUUAACCUGGGAACUGCAUUUGUGACUGGCGGGCUAGAGUAUGGCAGAGGGGGGUAGAAUUCCACGUGUAGCAGUGAAAUGCGUAGAGAUGUGGAGGAAUACCGAUGGCG